Molecule: non-coding RNA, 114 nt
Organism: Acanthosepion pharaonis
Lineage: Eukaryota; Metazoa; Mollusca; Cephalopoda; Sepiida; Sepiidae
Source: the annotation of a GenBank genome assembly
UUACGGCCAUAUCACGUUAAAGCACCGGUUCUCGUACGAUCGCCAAAGUUAAGCAACCUCGAACCUGGUCAGUAGCUAGAUGGGUGACUGUUUGGUUAAACCAGGUGGUGUAAG